AAUCUAUUGAUUUCAACAAUGUUACUGUUUUCUAAAUACCAAGUAUUUAAAUUGUAACUGUAAUGGAAUACAGUUACUCCUCAUUUGUAUUCUGAAUAUGUAACGCUGGUACAUGUAUUCCGUUACUCCCCAACACUGUUUGCAGAUUGAGCAUUUUAAAUUAAA
Long non-coding RNA from Etheostoma cragini (Arkansas darter), 165 nucleotides. RefSeq lists it as uncharacterized. The transcript is spliced from 3 exons. The record is from RefSeq and is a predicted model, not a curated record. Lineage: Eukaryota; Metazoa; Chordata; Actinopteri; Perciformes; Percidae.